AUGAACUCGAAGAAGGUGAGCAGAAGGCCCCCCGGAGUGGCGGGCCUGGCGGGACAGGCGAGCGACGAGCAGCAUCACAGCUCCUAACGGCGACAACGCCACGCAUCCCACGCCACUGGCACCACCUCCAUCACCACCACGGUUUGCAACAACAGCCCCGCGAUUUGCCACGCCACUGAGCGACUGCCGCGGCAGAAGCAAAGAGCGAAGAGAGGGACUGGAGGGAAGAAGGGGGUGAAUGAAGAAAGGGAAGUACAGCGAGGGAAGGUGGGGUGAGUGCAGACGCUUGGCUCACGUGUGCUCAGCCUGUCUUUCUCUCCAGCGCUCGGGUGUGGAGCAGUAGCUGGCUCGACUCCUCCCGGGUCAGCUGCUGCUGUUGUCCUCUCUUGUGUGACGGGCUCGUGUGAACUAGAGACUGGGGUGGACUACAAACAACAAUAACAACAGGAAAACUGAGUUCUCCGGCAACUACUCCGCAACAAUAAUCGGAAAGAAGUUUUGUUUACAUAUCAGAAGUAAAAACAACAACAAAAACAAAAAGGAAAGUGAAUCAGCUGUUGGGUGUUGACAAGUGAGAUCAUGUGCGAAUCGAACUCCUCGUGAGAGAGAGCGACCGUCGUUGGUGAUCGUUGGGGAAGUUAGUGAAGAGAGCCCUUUAGCAGGUGGGAAGAACUGCUUUAAAAGUUUUAUUUGACAAAGUCUUGUUACCAUGGGGACGUCGGUCUGAGGACCCGCAACACAAGAGAGAGAGAUCAGCGUGUGGCGCGUGCACCACAUCCCUUCUCUCCUGACCGCCCGUGUACCGGGACAUGGAAGAAGGCGACAUGGUGGCAAAAGGAAAAAGCGAGGGUCCCCCAUUGCAAGGACUGGCACAAGCAGUCAACCCUACACCUGGCGAUGGCUCCACUGCUCAGACGCGCCGCAUGCCCCACCUGCACAAGCUGGAAAAGAAGCUGAGUAGCAGUGAUCUUCACAGUCGCCUCAAGACGCGGAAAGUGCUCGGCGUCGGAGAAACAGACGAUGGUGACGUACACAGGUCAAAGUUGAGUCAGAUUCUGGGGCACAGUGACCAGCUGUACAUUCGUCUCCCCUGGGGUCUGAGGACCUGGCAACUCGUCCUCGCUGUCACAUUUACAGUUGUCUCCCUCUGGGCGUUGGUGCUGCCCUCGCAUUUAUUCGACAUAACAUUUGAAACAGAGGAGGGCCAGUAUGUGACAUUACCCGUGCGCCUGUAUGGUGCCGCCUUGCUGGCUCUCGCCAUCUUUCACUGGAACUGCCUGUACGCCACUGACCGUGACGUCAUCCGCAUGUCCCUCCUGUCCAGCGCUGUGUACUUCACCUUACAGACUGCAGUGGCGGUGCUGUCCAGUGUCCACAUGCGUGAGAUCGUGCCUGUCGGGGGCAUGCUGUGUCACGUGAUACGUCUGGGGGCGGCGGGGCUCAGCGGUCUUCUGUACUGGAUUCUCUGUCGUGACGGCCGCCAUUACAUGUUCCGCUGAGGGCCUUGGCCCCCACACUCUACCGACGACCCCCCGCCCCGCCGCCACAAGCUUGUGACCUUUACUUACCUAGGAUGUAUUCAUUACUUUACAAUUUCGAGUUUUCGAGAACGCGGCGCGCAGUGAAGCUGAAGAUCCAAGAGGGGAGAGAAUCUUUUGUGAUGUAUUAUUGUUUUUUUUUUUUUUGCACUGCUUCUUCAGUUUUGUGAGACUUGCACUCCACCAUUGGUUAAAUACUCGUUUCCCGUACUUUAAUAAUGCCUUUAUAUCCUAUGUACUAUAUUAUGUUAAGUAUAUUGUGUUUGUACUCUACUACUGGUUCAGUAUAUGAGGUCUCUACUGUAUGCUUAGUAUGGCUGUACUACACUCCUGGUGUCUGUUAUAUUCCUGUAUGUCGUGUUUGUACUGUACUGCUAGAUGAUAGUGUGUUGUCUGUAUUGUACUGUUGGAAUAGUAUUGCCGAGCAUGCGGUAUUCGUACUAAAAGUUGAGUAUUUUUUGUUCUUCCUAUACUCCAGGUUUAUUUAGUGUCUGUACUGUACUAGUGGACAUUAGGUGUCUGUAAUGUAUUGCCUUUACUCUCUGGUGCCUUGACCAAAUUCCUCGUUCGUUGUAUGGAGCUUAUCCUUGUACAGUAUGUGAUGCAUGGUCUGUAUACAGUCCUGUUCACAUCCUCCUACAGCCUUAGUUGUUGGCACGACAUAAAACUCAAACCAACCAAACCUGUUGACAAAAGUUUUUUUUCUGUUUGAUAGUCAGUCGUGUAAUAUUCCGUACUGCCAACAGGCAUUGCAGCGUUUUUAUUAUGCAAGCAGCAACCCAUCCCUGUUAUCCAAAGUGUAGGCAGCCGCAACGAUAAGAUGCCAGGCAUUGCAACGGUUUCAUUACGUAAGCAGCAGCUUAUUUCUUUUCUCUGAAGAUAAGGCAUCGAUAAGGAGCGUUGACGCACAUGCGCCGACUUCCUGUUGUAGUCCAUGACCGUUCUUUGGGACAACACCACCGAUCACUUGUCCAGCCAAAUUUUGUCCCUCCUGGACACUCGGCAUCCAUCUGUGUCCUUUUAGACCCUUCAGCAUCUGCAUUCAUUGUUUCCUUAACUGAUGUUAGUAGUAAAAACAGCUUUUUUCUUCUCCCACGAUGGCUUAAAUAUUUUGGAUAACCAUUUUAAUUUUCGUUAAAAACUUUUGACCGUAUCACAAAACUUGCUCUAAAGAGCCGGCAGUCUUUCAAGAACACCGGUUAUUGAGCAAGGAACUCGCACAGUGGAUGUUGACUCGUUUGAACCUGUUUUUAUUUAUGCAUGCUGUGCACAAUUAGUAAAUGUUUUGUUUUGUCAUGUGUUCUAUGUUCUGUGUAAUGUAGAGAGCAUGACUUCUUUGUGAAAUGACUCCCCACAAUGAUGUUCUUUCAUUGUUUAGUGCAGUAAUUAACUGCUCUGAUGUCAGGCCAGGUUACCUCUCAACACUUGUUUAUUUAUUUAAUUGUAAUACAUCCAAUUGUCUCGUUAGUGUUAAGAAAAUCAUGCCCACAGACAGACUGUUAGAAAGUGUCAUUUUACUAGCUCCAUCGAUAAAAAGAUAUUGGAAUUUUAUUCAGAAAUGGAAUUUAUGUUUUCUUUACUAUAGGGAAAUUUUUAUAUGACAUUCUUAUCACUGAUUUCUUCAUCACUGACAUUGCUAAAAAAUAAAAUAAUCCAAUUCAU
This 3200-nucleotide unclassified non-coding RNA is filed under the name Pomacea canaliculata. RNAcentral describes it as "tumor protein p53-inducible protein 11-like, transcript variant X1". The record is from RNAcentral. Lineage: Eukaryota; Metazoa; Mollusca; Gastropoda; Architaenioglossa; Ampullariidae.